This 253-nucleotide ribosomal RNA is filed under the name uncultured bacterium. RNAcentral describes it as "partial 16S ribosomal RNA". It matches the Rfam family "Bacterial small subunit ribosomal RNA", at positions 524 to 776 of the family's 1533-position model. The record is from RNAcentral.
UACGAAGGGGGCUAGCGUUGUUCAGAAUUACUGGGCGUAAAGCGCACGUAGGCGGACUAUUAAGUCAGGGGUGAAAUCCCGGGGCUCAACCCCGGAACUGCCUUUGAUACUGGUAGUCUCGAGUCCGGAAGAGGUGAGUGGAAUUCCGAGUGUAGAGGUGAAAUUCGUAGAUAUUGGGAAGAACACCAGUGGCGAAGGCGGCUAACUGGUCCGGAUCUGACGCUGAGGUGCGAAAGCGUGGGGAGCAAACAGG